UUACUCUGAAAACAGUCAUGCUUCUAGUGGUUCAAUUUGCUAAUGCAAGGGUUGAUUUUAUGUGAAGCCAUGCUGAAUGUACUGCAGUGCCAUGCUGGGUAUCUUAAAGAACAAGGCAUUGUCCUCUGCAGACACCCAGGCUGCAGACUUCAAGGACUGGAAGAAGAGCUUUGCGUCUUCUCUCUUCUCUAUACAGACACAAUCUGUAGCAGCAAAUGUGUUACAGAUGGACAGAAGCUGGGCUAUUAGGGGCCUACAGUGCAUCAGGCAUGGAUCCAUGUUAGAAAAUUGUCCCAAGGAUAACCAGGACCUGCUGGAGCACAGGAGUCAGUACAGGAGCCAAGAUGUAGGGGAGAAAAAGCCAAUGCCAAGAUACAAGUGGAGUCAAGUCACUGGUUCCUUGAGCAUAUCAGGACCUCCAAUUCAAGAAAAUAAAUGGGGAAGCAUUGAUGCAUUGAUUAACCUAUGAUUCUGCUCAGGCUGUGGUAUGAUCUGAAGAUUUAUGUUUCCCCAAAGCCAUUUAUGGAGAUCUUAACCCCUAAGGUGACGGUAUGAAGAGGUGGGGCCUUUGGAAUGCAGUUAAGUCAUAAGGGUUCCACCUUCCUGAAUGAGAUCAGUGCCCUUGCAAAAGAGGCUUGAAGAAAACUGCUCUUCCUGCCAUGUGAGGACACACAGAAGGCACCAUCUAUGAGGAAUAGGCUGUCACUAGACACCAAAUCUACUGAUGCCUUGUUCUUGAAUGUUCUGUCCUCCAGAACUGUGAGCAAUACGUUUUCGUAGUGUAUAAAUUGCCUGGUCUGAGGUAUUUUGUUGUACCAGCAAGAAUGGAGUAAGGCAGGUUGUGAUAACAAAAUACCAUAGACUGAGUGGCUUAAACAACAGGUGUUUAUUUCUUAUGGUUCUGGAGGCUAAGAAGUUCAAGAUCAAAGUGCUGGCCAAUUUGAUUUCUGGUGAGGGUCCUUUUCCUGGCUUGCAGGUGGUAGUCUUUUUGUUUCUUUUUGUUGUGUCUGUCUGUCAGGCCUCUGAGCCCAAGCUAAGCCAUCAUAUCCCCUGUGACCUGCACAUACACAUCCAGAGGGCCGGUUCCUGCCUUAACUGAUGACAUUAUCUUGUGAAAUUGCUUCUCCUGGCUCAUCCUGGCUCAAAAGCUCCCCUUCUGAGCAUCUUGUGACCCCCUAGUCCUGCCCACAGAGAACAAACCCCCUUUUUCCUUUACCUACCCAAAUCCUAUAAAAUGGCCCCACCCCCAUCUCCCUUCACUGACUCUGUUUUCGGACUCAGCCCACCUGCACCCAGGUGAAAUAAACAGCUUUAUUGCUCACACAAAGCCUGUUUGGUGGUCUCUUUACAUGGACGCAAGUGAAAUUUGGUGCCGUGACUCGGAUCGGGGGACCCCCCUUGGGAGAUCAAUCCACUGUCCUCCUGCUCUUUGCUCCGUGAGAAAGAUUCACCUACGACCUCAGGUCCUCAGAACGACCAGCCCAAGAAACAUCUCACCAAUUUCAAAUCUGGU
RNAcentral lists this long non-coding RNA (1513 nucleotides) under Homo sapiens (human). RNAcentral's name for it is "HSALNT0144708". Lineage: Eukaryota; Metazoa; Chordata; Mammalia; Primates; Hominidae. The record is from RNAcentral.